Lepidothrix coronata (blue-crowned manakin) is the source of this 357-nucleotide long non-coding RNA. RefSeq lists it as uncharacterized. The record is from RefSeq and is a predicted model, not a curated record. The transcript is spliced from 3 exons. Lineage: Eukaryota; Metazoa; Chordata; Aves; Passeriformes; Pipridae.
AAAAUCUGAUGGGCCACCUACCUUCUUGGGAAUGGAAGUCAAGUUUUUUCCUGUUGCCAUGGUCAUGAUGGAGCUGUGAGGAGGCUUGCCCAGGAGCGAGAUACUGGAGAAAGAGCAGAAGGAGAGAUAUUCCUGUGAGCCUCUUCUGAAGAAAGUACAAGCAGCAGUGAUGAGCCUACAGGGAUCAAAGUCAGCCUACGCUGGAAAGUGCAUUCAUUUUUAGGCCAGACGUAGAACUGAAGGGCGGUACAAGGCCAAAUAGUUCUCCUGCUUGAAGAGAUCUUUAGCACCUGGUGUGAAACCUGAAACAUGAACACAAGGAGGAGAAAAAUUAGGCUCAAACCAAAGCAAAAGAAA